This 253-nucleotide ribosomal RNA is filed under the name uncultured bacterium. RNAcentral's name for it is "partial 16S ribosomal RNA". It matches the Rfam family "Bacterial small subunit ribosomal RNA", at positions 524 to 776 of the family's 1533-position model. The record is from RNAcentral.
UACGGGGGGGGCAAGCGUUGUUCGGAAUUACUGGGCGUAAAGGGCGCGUAGGCGGCCCUCUAAGUCAGACGUGAAAUCCCACGGCUUAACCGUGGAACUGCGUCUGAUACUGGCAAUCUCGAGUCCGGGAGAGGUGAGUGGAACUGCGAGUGUAGAGGUGAAAUUCGUAGAUAUUCGCAAGAACACCAGUGGCGAAGGCGGCUCACUGGCCCGGUACUGACGCUGAGGUGCGAAAGCAUGGGGAGCGAACAGG